This 250-nucleotide ribosomal RNA is filed under the name uncultured bacterium. RNAcentral's name for it is "partial 16S ribosomal RNA". It matches the Rfam family "Bacterial small subunit ribosomal RNA", at positions 524 to 773 of the family's 1533-position model. The record is from RNAcentral.
UACGGAGGAUCCAAGCGUUAUCCGGAUUUAUUGGGUUUAAAGGGUGCGUAGGUGGAUCUUUAAGUCAGUGGUGAAAGCCUAGAGCUUAACUCUAGAACUGCCAUUGAUACUGAAGAUCUUGAGUGCAGUUGAGGCGGGCGGAAUGUGUCAUGUAGCGGUGAAAUGCUUAGAUAUGACACAGAACACCGAUUGCGAAGGCAGCUCGCUAAACUGUAACUGACACUGAGGCACGAAAGCGUGGGGAGCAAAC